This 254-nucleotide ribosomal RNA is filed under the name uncultured bacterium. Its description in RNAcentral is "partial 16S ribosomal RNA". It matches the Rfam family "Bacterial small subunit ribosomal RNA", at positions 524 to 776 of the family's 1533-position model. The record is from RNAcentral.
UACGUAGGGUGCGAGCGUUUAAUCGGAAUUACUGGGCGUAAAGCGUGCGCAGGCGGUUUUGUAAGCCAGAUGUGAAAUCCCCGGGCUUAACCUGGGAAUGGCAUUUGGGACUGCAAGGCUUGAGUGCGGCAGAGGAGACUGGAAUUCCUGGUGUAGCAGUGAAAUGCGUAGAUAUCAGGAAGAACACCCGUGGCUAAGGCGGCUCUCUAGUACGGUACUGACGCUGAGACGCGAAAGCGUGGGGAGCGAACAGG